UUGACGGGAAACGCACAAUCAGCGUGCCAUGUGGUUUAAUUGGAUACGAAACCUUGAACCUUACCUAGAUUUGACAUGUAACUGCAAACCUCUGGAAACAGAGGAAUCCUUCGAGGGUGUUACACAGCUGCUGCAUGGUUGUCGUCAGUUCGUGUCGUGGGGCGUCGGCUUAAGUGCCGUAACGAACGCAACCCCUGUGCUAUGUUAAAUAUCCAUAGCAGACUGCCUUGGAUUUUUCCAAGGGGGAAGGAGGGGAUGACGUCAAAUCAGCAUGGCGCUUAUAUCUAGGGCUACACACAUGGCGUAAUGGGUGGGACAACGGGAUGCCAAGGCGCGAGCCGGAGCUAAUCCUUAUAAACCCAUCCUCAGUUUGGAUUGCAGGCUGCAAUUCGCCUGCAUGAAAGGGAGUUGAUAGUAAUCGCGGAUCAGCAACACCGCGGUGAAUACGUUCUCGUUUCUU
Molecule: ribosomal RNA, 460 nt
Filed under: uncultured Microgenomates group bacterium
Lineage: Bacteria
Description: bacterial SSU rRNA
Rfam family: Bacterial small subunit ribosomal RNA
Source: RNAcentral